UAGUGCCCGAGCACUCACCGGGAGUGGGUGGAGCACCUAUGGGUGGCGGCACUAUUCAGCCACUAUUCACUCACUAUUGCGCACUAUUGAGCUACUAUUCGGGGUCGCUUUCAGGGGAUACGAGCACGCGCGGGUGCGUGAUUAGGUAUAUUCCUUAAUUAAGUCUAUUCUCAGGAUCUUUGCGGGUUGGCAAGACCGAAGAUUCAGCCGGUCGUGCUGCUAUGCUUGUGACAGUCCUACUCGGUACUCACCGCAUGCCUCGCUGGCUCGCUUCAGAACCAGGCCAGCCCGGACUGCACCCUCACCGUCCCCAGCCAUGCUCAAACAGGACUCAGGCUCUACCGUCUUCCCAGGCAGUUCCACCCGAAGGGAACACUUCUCUACGCAGACAGGGUUCUCCUCAAACGCCGCUACCAGGGCUAACACGAGAACGACACACGCAGAGGUUUCUCCUCUAGGGUCCCUAGUGUAGAGACAUCGCCCCAUACGAACGAGCUUAAAGGAAGGCAGGGAUGCUGCCAGGACAGCUUAAUCCAUUUCCACGGGACAAGCUUACAUGCGUCUUUCCCUUUUGGGAAACCCCAAGCACUUAGCACAAACCUUGAUUACCUUACAAACCGAGGGACGAGCUCCAACGGCCUCCCUUUAUUCUAGUAGUGGUAGUACAGAGGUGGAGUAAUACAGCGGUAGUGGGUGAUUCUAAAGUAUGGUGGCUAAUUCUUUUUCUCUCAGAGAGUGGUGGUGGAGGUCUUCAUGAGUGGAGUAUGAGUGGAGGUCUUCGGUGGUGGAGUGUGUCUUCGUGAUUCUUGGUGAUGCUCUGGUGCUCUGGUGGUGAUCUAGUUGAUGUCGUUGAUGUCGUGCCUCCAAUGCUUCACCCGGUACCUCCUUUUAUAGUCGCGGUAGAGGCUUCUGGAGUUGCUUCAUGCUUAAGGCUUCUGGUGCCUUCAACUAUUCUCCUCUUCUGUUGCCUGGACACUUGGACGGCUUCCCGCUCCUCAAUAAUUGUCCUGGGUACAGUAGAGUUGCUGUUUAUUCCUUUUGCCUUGUCCUCUAUCGCGUACUGUCUUCUCGUGAUAUUCUGGAUGCUGCUUGGUAUGGUCUUCCACGCCCGAAUGAUUGACGUCGCAGACUUCAAUCAAAACAUCUUGGCAUGUAGUAUUAUUCUGCCCCGGCCGAAUUGUUGUUAACCCCUUAACAACAUUGGAGAGUUAUUCCCUUGUGUGACAAAUAUUCUUUUAUUCGAGCUGUAUUUCUAUUCUUCUUCUUUUUAUCGGGUUGCCUCUUUUCUUGGUUAUUCUUGGCUAUCUCCACGGAAAUCCAUCAUAUCAUCAUCAGAUAUGGGCACUUCCAUUUUCAAUUCAUAGUAUUUUUGCAUAUUUUUGAAUUUCUCAUCUAUUUCAAGCCUUAUUUCUUUCAUUAUUUCUUCUUUUAAAUUAUUCUUCCAUUGAGGAAAUACUGAUUCAAGUUUUUCUUUUAACUUAUUGUCAAUAUAUUCCUCAUUUGAUGAGUCUGCUUCUUUCUUCAGAAUUUCUUUAUAUGUUGGAGCCUUAGAUGAACCUUCUUCCUUUAUAUUUAUUCCAGAUGGGCUUGGCUUAAGCUCCUUUAUUUUUUUAUAUUUUUGAAUAUAUUCCUUAGCAGCAGGUUCUAAAAAGUAGUUUACUCCUAAUAUAUUUCUAGCAUAUGUAAGAGCUUGAUCAAUGUCAGUAUAUUUCUUCCAUAAUAUUCCUCCGUCUUUAUCUUUUUCUAUUUUUUGUGCUAUUACUUGCUCAAAUGAUACAUAAAUUCCAGGAUUCUUUCCUUUAUAUAUCACAUAUAUGGCCUUUUUCUCUAUAUUUUCGGGUGACUCCUUUGGUUGUAUUAACCCGUUGAUUGUAUGGAAAUAUUCAGCUAGGCUAUUUAAAAUAGCUAGCAUAUAUCCCUUAUCUUCUCGUUUAUUGUUGUACUGGUACCAAAAAUUGUCUAAAAUGCAUUCUUGUACUUCGUCUAGUACAAUAUGAUCCGUUGGUUUAAAUUUAUAUGUGUUUGGAGGAAAUAUUCUUAGCUUAUUCUCUGCUCCAAAGCAGAAAUAGUCAAUCCCUGUUGGACUCACUCCCUUCUUCAUUCCUGCAAAAUAGAUGAACGAGAAAAUAUAUCAGGAAGGGUAUUAUCCUUUCCCUUUAUAUGCUCAAAUAUUACUUUGUAUCCAUUCCCUGUAAUUAUAUCUUCAAAUAAAACCCAUCUUCUAGUUGAACUUUUCUUACUAUUAAUUUUAUUGUAGUAUCUACAUAUAGCUUCGCAAUCUGUUCGUACCGUGAACUCUUUAAAUCCUAGAUAUAAUCUGAAAGCAUUUAGCGCAUUAAUAACAGCUAAAAUUUCUCUAUCUGUAUUAUUUAUUGCCUUUAGUUUAUAUUUCCCUGAAGCAUACCUACAUAUUUUUUCUUCUGUUUUUGGGGAAUAUUUAUGAGGCUUUUGCUUUAAUAUAGCACCCCAUCCUAUUUCAGAUGUGUCUGUUUCUAUAAUAAAAUAAUAGUCAUCUAGAGGUAAAUCUAAAGGUUUUAAUUCUUUCACCUUUUCUUUUAUGAUUCUUACUAGCUUUAUAUCUUCAGAAUUAAAAUGUUUUUGCCCAUUUUUUCUUAAUUUUGCAUAUAAUGGCCCAGCUAGUUUUGCUAAGUUUUCUAUGUAAUUUCUAGCAUAAUUUACUAUACCUAAAAAUUGCUGCAGGGUUUUCUUAUCAUUCAUGAUAUCAGGAAAUUGCAAAAUUUUCUUUGCGAUAUGAUCUUGUAAAUAAAUUUUUCCCUCUCCUAUUUCAUGGCCUAAGAAAUUUAUCUUUUCUUUGCAUAUUUCCAUCUUCUUUUUAGAAAGUAUUAACCCAUGCUGCUCUACCUUUCUAAAGAACAUUUCCAGAUGAGCUAUAUGUUCUUUAUAAGAUUUUGAAAAAACUAAUAAAUCAUCUAUAUAAACUAAUAUGAAAUCUUGAUUUUCAUUAAAGAUAUUCUGCAUUUUUCUUUGAAACAAAGCAGGGGCAUUUUUUAGACCUAAUGGCAUUACCAACCAUUCAAAAUGACCUUGAGGACAUGUGAAGGCAGUCCAGCCUAUUGAUUCUUCUGCCAUUUUUACUUGCCAAAACCCAGCUUUUAAAUCAAAUUUUGAGAAAUAUUUGCUACCUUGUAUUCUAUUUAUCCAUUCUUGCUUAUUUGGGAUAUUAUAUCCGUCAUCUAUUGUAUUAUCAUUUAAUCUUUUAUAAUUAAUAACCAUUCUUGACUUUCCUCCGGCUAUUUCAGCAUGAUUUCUAACUAUAAAGGCUGCUGACCUAUGGGGACUUCUGCUUUCUCUUAUUGCUCCUAACUUAGGUGUCGCUUCUAUCGGACUAGUCUUAAUUAUAUAAUCAGGGUUUAUUAUAUUAAGCUUGCAAACUAUACCAUUCUUAUCCCAAUAUUUCAUUGGUAUUUCUCCUAUUAUUUGAAUUUCUUCUAACCUUUGUACUAUCUUAUCUAUGUCUUUUUUAGAUUUUAUAUCUCUAUACCAGUUUGGUGAUAGCGAUUGCAAACUAAUACACUCUAUGCAUGUAUUUGCUAUAUGGAAUUCUUCUAUACUUUCACCUAAUUCUUCAUCUAUAUUAUCAACAUACUUAUUAUCGUCAUAUUCUUGAGUUUCUAUUUUAGCUUUUCCUUCAUUAGAGCGUAUAGUUUUUCGUACUUCUGUUAUAUAUGGAAUAUUAUCUUGGUAUGGGAUGAAUGUAAUCCCUUGCUCAUGUAUAAUUGUUGUUUGUAAGGAAUACUGUAAAAACCUUAAUCCUAAUAUCAUAUCAUCAUUUAUCAUGGAUAAAUCUCUUAUUGUGAUCUCAUCCAUUAUAUAUUUUGUAUUGUUUAUUUGUAUCUCAAUAUUAUAAGCUAACUAGUUAUGAAGCUUUUUUAUUCCUGACAUAUCAGUGGAUAUUUCUGCUUUAUCUUGAUCUAUUGUAUGUACUAUCUCUGGGCAUCUUGCAAAAUAUUUAUCAUGUAUAAUAUUUUUUGUACAACCAGUAUCUACUAAUGCUAAUAUUUUAUAAGUGAUGGUAGGUGUUAAUUUUACCUUUACAGGUAUUCUUAUUCCUACAAUUUCUUUAAAUGGUAAUCUAACUAUGUACUUGCUGCCAAAAUUAAUUAUAGCAUCUUUUAAUUGUAUAGCCUUAUCAUUAUUUUUAUCAACUAUGGCUUGAUCUUUAAACUCAGUGUUGCCACUAGCAUUUCCUUCAAUCUUAUUAUUAUUAAAUUCUAUUUUACUUCUUAGAUCUUCUAACUCAGCUUCUAAGAUAUUUACUCUAUUUUCUAAAUUUCUAACUCUACUUGCUAAUAUUUUAUCUUCUGCUAUUAUUUCUAUUUCUUGUGUCCAUUUCUGAUUAGCAUUCCUUAAACAUGAAGCGCAUGCUUGUUUUAAACAUACACUACAUGUAAAUCUAUUAUCUUGACUAGGAUAAUAUAUGCGAAAAGCACAUUUGAUAUUAUAAUCACCUCUUCCUUUUAUCCAAUCAUGCUCACAAUCUCCUUGAUCCAUUAAUUCAGUUUUAUCUUCUUUCGAAUCACUUGUUUCUUCAUCUUUUAUUUCUAGCGCAUCCAUAGCAUUUUCUAUAUUAUGUAUUUCCUCUUCACCAAGAGAAUUUAUAAAAUCGUGGUGACUCUGCACAUUAUUUUCUUCUUCUUCUUCUUCAUAGCUUUCUAAAGGAUAGCUUUCAUUAAAUUUCUUUUGGACUUCUUCAUUAAUAGUGGAAUCUUUCACGAUAUUACUUUGCGGAACUUCUUUUGCUUUAUGGCUUCCAAGGUCUACUGGUUUCAACUCAGCUUUCUGCUCCUUUAUUAAUUGAGAUUUGAUCUUUUUGUCAUAAAGAUCUCUAUUCCUUUUUAACUUAUAUAACAUCCUAAUAAAAUAAACUUCUUUCUCCCUAAUAGCAGGCCAAUCACUCAACAUAGAUGUAUUAUAUUCAUGAGGUAUUUUAUUUAGCUUUUGUUCAUAGUAAUGAAUUUUGCUUACUAAACUUUCCAUUAAAAGUAAAAAUACUAACUUAAGGUUGUAACAGCUAAUUCAAAUAUCUUGACUAGAUAUAGAAAAACCCUCAAAAACACAAAUUUUUAACAACCUCGGCUCUGAUACCAGUUAAUCAAGAUCGAGGGCGAGGAAACGAGCGACUUCGAAAAAUUUCGGAUUUCAAAUUUCGAGUUACUAUUCACAACACUAUUCAAAUUCGGCGAACACUAUUCAAAUUCGCGGCACUAUUUAAAUUCAGCUCACUAUUCAAAUUCGGGAAUAUCAAUAGUGCCCGAGCACUCACCGGGAGUGGGUGGAGCACCUAUGGGUGGCGGCACUAUUCAGCCACUAUUCACUCACUAUUGCGCACUAUUGAGCUACUAUUCAGGGUCGCUUUCAGGGGAUACGAGCACGCGCGGGUGCGUGAUUAGGUAUAUUCCUUAAUUAAGUCUAUUCUCAGGAUCUUUGCGGGUUGGCGAGACCGAAGAUUCAGCCGGUCGUGCUGCUAUGCUUGUGACAGUCCUACUCGGUACUCACCGCAUGCCUCGCUGGCUCGCUUCAGAACCAGGCCAGCCCGGACUGCACCCUCACCGUCCCCAGCCACGCUCAAACAGGACUCAGGCUCUACC
This 5609-nucleotide long non-coding RNA is filed under the name Setaria italica (foxtail millet). RNAcentral's name for it is "long non-coding RNA (SITA_LNC004496)". Lineage: Eukaryota; Viridiplantae; Streptophyta; Magnoliopsida; Poales; Poaceae. The record is from RNAcentral.